UGGAACUGCUGCUUCGGACCUGGCUA
Molecule: non-coding RNA, 26 nt
Filed under: Mus musculus (house mouse)
Lineage: Eukaryota; Metazoa; Chordata; Mammalia; Rodentia; Muridae
Source: RNAcentral